Aquila chrysaetos chrysaetos is the source of this 450-nucleotide long non-coding RNA. RefSeq lists it as uncharacterized. The record is from RefSeq and is a predicted model, not a curated record. The transcript has 4 exons. Lineage: Eukaryota; Metazoa; Chordata; Aves; Accipitriformes; Accipitridae.
UGGGGCUGGAGGGACGUGGUUAUGGGGCUGGUGGGACGUCGGGGUCAACAGUAGAUGGGGUUAUGGGGCAGUGGGAGUGGGACGUGGUUAUGGGGCUGGUGGGACGUCGGGGUCAACAGUAGAUGGGGUUAUGGGGCAGUGGGAGUGGUGGGACAUGGUUAUGGGGCUGGAGGGACACUGGGGUCAACAGCAGAUGGGGUAAUGGGGCAGUGGGGUUGGUGGGACGUGGUUAUGGGGCUGGUGAGAUGUUGGGGUCAACAGUAGAUGGGGUUAUGGGGCAGUGGGGUGGUGGGACACAGUUAUGGGGCACUGGGGUGUGGUUAUGGGGCUGGUGGGACGUUGGGGUCAACAGUAGAUGGGGUUACGGGGCAGUGGGGUGGUGGGACACAGUUAUGGGGCACUGGGUUGGGGUUAUGGGGCAGCGGGGUUGGUGGGACGCGGUUAUGGGGC